UUUUCCCAAUAAAAAUUCUUUAGACAUUUAUUCCCAAAAACUAUCCAUAUUAUCGAUGAUCUUGAGGGCUCGCAAGCAUAUUUUCUGGCGAGCAAAUGGAAUUGAAGCUACUUUCCACAGAAACACAAUAAUCCCUCCAAAGUCUAGCUUCCAGCUGCCGCCACUACAAUAAAUUUGGAUUCCAAUUUGGAUGUUCAAUCAAGUGCUGUUGCUGUUGCUGUUUCCUGUCCUCGAAGGACUUAGCUCCAGUCUUCGCGAUCGGCACAACACCACCAGCCCCAUCCGAGGUAUACGAACAGGAGAACGCAUAAACAGAAGAUUAACACGAAAACGGCAAUAGCCAGGGCCACCCAAAUGGCCAGCAAGGAGCUCUCACGACGAUAGUACUCCGUCGAUGAGUAUACCCAGCCCAAAGUGCUGGCGAAUGUGGACUCAUCCGAUUGCAGGUCUACGAAUCCUUCAGGCAUUUUAGAAUGCAAUUUUGAUACUAGAUACUUUAAAUGUAUUUGUUUAGAAUUUUAAGACUGAACCUCACAGCUUGAUGUGUUUUCCAAAGGCUAAGGCUAAAGCUGUACCACUUCUCGUUCGGAACGAGCUCCUCUUUUAAUGUCAUUGUUUUUUACUUUUGUUGAAAAAUCAUUUAAUUAUCCAUUCGUUGGCAACACUGAUUUAUGUGGCUAAAUAAUUAGCGCCUUUUAGCAGCCAUUAAAUGGAUGCCCGGCACCAUUUUAUGAGCCUUCCGUAAGAGCCAAUCGUAAAUCCAACCCCAAAACUCCGAAAGAGCCAAUAACCAUUCGAUUACCGAUGGGUGGAAAUGGCAAUGGCAAUGGCAAUGGCAAUGGCUAUAAAUUGGAAUGUUUCAAUAUUUAAAUAUUUGCAAUUACAUUUAAAUGUUUGGCCAUGUGUGUGUGUGUGCGGAUUGGAUCCUGAAUAAGAGGAUGAGAGCGGUGAGCGGUGCACGGCUGUCUGCCAAAAUAAAUAUCUUUAUAUUCGGCUUUUUCUGGCUCCUCGCACAUGCCAAUAAAUUGCUAGACACAAAGUGUCAACCGACGGGGACGAGGACAGCCUUAUUUGCAUACGGAUCCCUGCCUGUCUGCCCUGCCUUCCAUUCCCCGCUACUUACAACCAUAUUAUAAUGGAAUCCACACUUGAAAAUAGAGCAAUAUCCAUCCACUUGCAUAUGUUGCCGCGGACAUUCCACC
Molecule: long non-coding RNA, 1202 nt
Filed under: Drosophila guanche
Lineage: Eukaryota; Metazoa; Arthropoda; Insecta; Diptera; Drosophilidae
Source: RNAcentral